UACGGAGGGUGCAAGCAUUAAUCGGAUUUAUUGGGCGUAUAGGGCGCGUAGGCGGAAAUGUAAGUCAGAUGUGAAAUCCCGGGGCUCAACUCCGGAACUGCAUUUGAAACUACAUUCCUUGAGGGUAGGCGGAGAAAACGGAAUUCCACAAGUAGCGGUGAAAUGCGUAGAUAUGUGGAAGAACACCUGUGGCGAAAGCGGUUUUCUAGCUUACUCCUGACGCUAAGGCGCGAAAGCUAGGGGAGCAAACAGG
RNAcentral lists this ribosomal RNA (253 nucleotides) under uncultured bacterium. Its description in RNAcentral is "partial 16S ribosomal RNA". It matches the Rfam family "Bacterial small subunit ribosomal RNA", at positions 524 to 776 of the family's 1533-position model. The record is from RNAcentral.